Molecule: ribosomal RNA, 572 nt
Filed under: Colletotrichum sp. BDS-2011
Lineage: Eukaryota; Fungi; Ascomycota; Sordariomycetes; Glomerellales; Glomerellaceae
Description: eukaryotic LSU rRNA
Rfam family: 5.8S ribosomal RNA (bases 213-366)
Source: RNAcentral
UAACAAGGUCUCCGUUGGUGAACCAGCGGAGGGAUCAUUACUGAGUUUACGCUCUACAACCCUUUGUGAACAUACCUAUAACUGUUGCUUCGGCGGGUAGGGUCUCCGUGACCCUCCCGGCCUCCCGCCCCCGGGCGGGUCGGCGCCCGCCGGAGGAUAACCAAACUCUGAUUUAACGACGUUUCUUCUGAGUGGUACAAGCAAAUAAUCAAAACUUUUAACAACGGAUCUCUUGGUUCUGGCAUCGAUGAAGAACGCAGCGAAAUGCGAUAAGUAAUGUGAAUUGCAGAAUUCAGUGAAUCAUCGAAUCUUUGAACGCACAUUGCGCCCGCCAGCAUUCUGGCGGGCAUGCCUGUUCGAGCGUCAUUUCAACCCUCAAGCUCUGCUUGGUGUUGGGGCCCUACAGCUGAUGUAGGCCCUCAAAGGUAGUGGCGGACCCUCCCGGAGCCUCCUUUGCGUAGUAACUUUACGUCUCGCACUGGGAUCCGGAGGGACUCUUGCCGUAAAACCCCCAAUUUUCCAAAGGUUGACCUCGGAUCAGGUAGGAAUACCCGCUGAACUUAAGCAUAUCA